UCAGCUCCUACUCUCUGUGGCAGCUAUGGAGAUUCUGAUGCUUCUGGAAGUUCACAACCACAACAUGUAACACGAUACGGAGCGGUCACACUGGUCAAACGAACUGGACUUUAGCGUUGAAGCGUGCUUGGGCACGGUACGGAUGGCCAGUGUGACCGCGUGAACGUAAUAAGCAACAACCUCUACAGGACAGCUGGUCUAUAAGGUGGCAUUCCUCAAAUCCAAAAAAAACAGACACAACAUACAGAUAUGUCGGGGACUUGAUGGCACUGGUGUUGGAGGAGAUGUUUCAGGAACCAGAACCCUUCAUGGAGGAGCUGCAGAAAAUACCAUGCUCUCAAAAAGAAGAAGUGGUGGCUCGACACGUGUCCAGGUGUAGUCAAGGGGCGGGCGGAAGCCAACAUACUGUCCAGUCGGGUCAGGAAACUCGGGGCGAAUCCUCAGGACGACACAUGACAGGAUAACCACUGCCAAGUGUCUGCACAGCAUGU
Long non-coding RNA from Labrus mixtus (cuckoo wrasse), 491 nucleotides. RefSeq lists it as uncharacterized. The transcript has 3 exons. The record is from RefSeq and is a predicted model, not a curated record. NCBI's taxonomy places the organism in Eukaryota, Metazoa, Chordata, Actinopteri, Labriformes, Labridae.